AUAGGAAAUGUAUGUGCAACCUCUGCAACUUUUUGUUGGCGUGUUGUGACGAUGACCCUGCUUCCAUUGUUUCCAUUAAUCAAAGGAGUUACAAGUUCAUCCCAAUCAUUAUAAUUGUCAUUCCAUAGGUCAUCCAACACAAACAAAAAUCUUUUGUCUCUCAAAGUUUUCUUCAGUUCAACUCGAAGAAAAUCAAGAUUAUUGUUUUCCCAAGCCCUUGAAGUGACAGAUUCAAGGAGAGUUUUAGUUACUCUUAAAAUAUCAAAAUCCUCCGAUACACAAGCCCAUGCUUUGAGAUCAAAGUGUUCUUGAACUUUUUCAUCAUUGUAAGCAAUUUGUGCAAGGGUUGUUUUUCCGACACCUCCCAUACCUAAAAUUGCAACAACACCGAUAUUGUUAUUGCUAGUGCUGCUCUUUGAUAGCAACAUGUUCGUUAUUGUCUCUUUGUCAUCCUUUCUACCAACCAUGAAUGAUUCAUUAACCACAGAACUAGAAGGUGUUCUAUGGAAAAUUCUAGCACUUUUAGUUUGUAAACCAAGGAUAUCUUUGUUUUGUGCAAAAAUUUGCAGGUUGUCACACAUGGUCUUAAUUUGGGAAUUGAUCUCUCCAUAGAUGUUUUUAAAAGGAGAAGAAAGGAAGUUCCAGACCUGAUUAGUUUUGUUUGCAGCUUGUGUAUUCUCCACCUUGCAUCGCAGUGACUCAUAACUAAUUUGAUUCAGCAAAUCCUCCGCAUCAAAGAUAGCAUCUUUCAAGUCAUCAACCCAUUUUUUGACAGCACGGUUGUUGAUCUGCUUCUCCUCAGCAUCAUCCAGCACAGCUUGAAGAACCAGCAGUGUUGUUUGUAACUGCUUCAAGAGUGAGACAUUCAGCUUUUUGUUGUUGAUGAAAUCACGAAACUCAGUUGAAGUUAGUUUGUCAAGCAUGGUUUGGACAGAAGCAGAGAGAAAUGCACCUCCAACCAAAGUUGCUGCCAUCUUUUCUAAGCGGGGUUGUUUUGAUGAAUGUUGAUUAACGAAGGUAAGGUAGCUUGAAAAUCUAUAUCGAUGGGGGAAAACAAGUUUGGUAAGGUACCUUUAUACAGGGAAACUUCGUUGAGAUUACUAAGGAGCACAAAUUAUAGAGAGUUGGAAUAAGUUAUUACAUUAAGCACAAUCAUUAUAAUUAUAAUAGUAUAGUAAAUGUGCUAAGGAACAAACAAAACGACACUGUGUCACUGUCUAUUUAAGAAUUUGAGAAAUAAAGAUCUUGAUUACUGUAAACCAUUGAAGUUAGGCCGGCAAUGAAAAAUAUAAUAUUUCAUACAAUUAUUCACCAACUACAAGAACCACCCAAGUCUUUGUAUUAAAGCUUUUAUAUUACAUGCUGAUGUUGGUUAAAAAAUAAAUAAAUCAAUUAAAAAAAUAUAAUCCUCGAGACUUGUAUUGAGAAAUACGAAAUUGCAAUGCAUUUGAUACCUUUCCAUCUCUAAUCACAUCUAGUGACACAAUUGCCACCAUACCUUCUCAAUAAAUUUUCUUAAAUUUACUGCCCUAAAAACAUGUUAACAGUAUUUAAUAUACAAUUUUCAAAAAAUACUACAUGAAAUAUUUAUAAAAUGAGUGAUGCUAUAUCUCGCAAACAAAUUUGAUCGCAAGUUCACGAAUCUUGUCUUUGUAUUUAAAUAGCAAAUAGAAAUUUUGGUGAAAAUUAGCAAAGGUGCAUUAGCUGGUCAACUUCCCCAUUUUCCUCCUAUGUUUUCCACUAAAAAAGAAGUCGAAAGUUUGACUAAUAAAUAAACGAACAUGUUAACGAGUGCUCCGGACAAUUUUUAAGCACUUUAAAUGGUAAUUUUUUUUUUAUAAAAAGUUGUUUAUUCAAUACAUUGAAAAUUGUAAUAGUUAACUUUUUGAAAUAAUAAUUGCUAAAUUUAGAAUCCUAAAAAGUGUCCUAGAACACUCGUUAACAAGAUCCAUAUAUAAAACAUAAAACAUGUUACUUCGAGACAUUUGCUAUGCUGAUCAUUUGCUGGAUGAUAUAGUACUGCUCUUAAUUGAUUCCGAAUCAUCAUUACAUUUGAGAAUCAUCAAUCCGUUUGAGAAAAAUCUCAAAUGAAAGAAAAAGAUUCAACACUCGCAAAGUUAUUGUGAUGUAGAGCAAAUAUUUCUUCAAUCAAUAAUAACAGCUGCAAGUGGAAACCAAACAAACAUAAACUGUACCUAAUGAUUUAGGUCAUAAGUCAAAAAAAUAAAAUUGAACAUCAAACCAAUGAAUCUGCUGCAAAAUUAAUAGAAGAGAAAUUGUUCUUAGAAUAGUAUGAAAGAUAGAUAUCACCUAUUUGAAACAUUCAGAUAAAAUCACAUAAGUUAUAAAGACCAACAAUAUCUCUAUAAAAGAAACUUAAUUAAUCAGAUCAAUAGCAUGAAAGAGGUUUCAAAUGGAUAAUACAACAUAAUUUUAUGCGUCGAAAAAUUCUAAACAAAUAGAUUUAUCUAUUUUUUGUAGCAAAAAGAUGUUUAGAAAAAUAUACAAAUCGUCAAGAAACAAAAGAAAUCAAAGUAGCAAAUUUGGAAAGUUUUUUUUUUUUUUUUUUAAAACUUAGGAUUACUCGUUACAAGAUAAAUUACACGUUAAAAGAAAAAUCCAUUGCUGGAUGACACCCCAUUUGUGAACCACAGAAAUCAGUUAGUUUGAAAUACUUUAGUUGGGACAUAGUCAAGCAAUAAUAUUGCAUUGCACUUCAAAUUUUACUUGGAAAAGGUUAUUUAAACAUUAAGAUUUAAGAGUGGCAAAAGAAUAAAUUCAAACAAGGGAAACCAAAUGAUUUUUUUUAAUAAAAGAUGCUUUUAACAUUUCAUUAAUAAUCAUAUGUUCUAUACAACGAGGUACAUAAGAAUAAGUAGUGGGACUAGCUAAUAAUAUGGCAGCUCCAACUAGCGUGUGAGCUACCUCAUUCGCUUGUCUCCGGUUAAACUUGACCUUUGAGUUGGUGAAUUUCAAGUCGAAGAGACUUCUACAAGCGGAGAUAAUGAGCCCAAAUUCAGAGACAUCUGGGCGAGAAUUAUUAAAAGCAUCCACCGUAGUCUUUGAGUCCAAGGCAAAGUCUACGUUAUCAAAUCUCAUAUCACUUAGCCACUCCAAAGCAUAGUAAAGGCCCAUAGCUUCCCCUACGUGAAAGUAAUAAUUCUUCCUUUUAUAAAAAAUAUAAAAAAUAUAUAUUGUACUUGCAGAAAAAGUACGGUAAGGAUUCUAGGGCUAAGAAUCGUCGAUUAGGGUUCUAAACUAGGGCUUUUUAGAAUGAAUAUCGGAUCCCUUGAGAAUGAUUUCAAGAGGGUUAUUUAUAGCCUGCUAAUGGGUUUUUUCCUGCGUGACUUAAGCUCUAAGAAAGCAAGGUUUUUAGUCUUUUUAGCUCAUUUAAGCGGUUUAGGGCGACUUCUAGAGGUUUCUAGAAGCCGAGGUGGACCGCGUCCUGAGGAGGACGUGCCUAGACCUCCAAAGCCCCUUCUAUAGGGCGUCUAAACCCUUCUGGAGGGCUUUUAAGCCCUUAGGAAUAUUAUGACGGUCCACAACCCCCCAAGCACGAGGCUUGGAACAAGGCGAAGUGAUGAAUAAUGUAGAUUUGGUCCUUCUGGAGGGCUUUGAGCCCUUAUGAAUAUUAUGACGGUCCACUCCCUUUCACGGAUUUUCCGAAUUAGAGCUCUUUAUAAAGUUUUACACCUUUCAUAGGCGCUCUGUUGAUGUUAAUAUAUCAGCCACCUUUAAAAAGGUCGGACUUAUUGAUUUGAAUAUCAGCCGCCUUUAAAAAGGUCGGACUUAUUGAUUUGAAUAUCAGCCGCCUUUAAAAAGGUCGAACUUAUUGAUUUAAAUAUCGGGCCGCCUUUGAUAGGCGGACUGUCGAUACUUCUUCUUAUAAAAAACCUGCAAAACAAAUCUCAAAGGUCGAAAAGGUUAUUUUAGAAUAUAACUCCGCGUUUCAUCUUUAUGUUUUCCAUGGCGGGACUAUUGCUUCCAUACUCGUUUAAUUACGGCGUGUUGAUUGGCGAGUUCUCUCCUUUUAUUCAUCUAGCCCUUGGCGGGCUUGUUAGUAUCCCAACCUUGAUUUAUCUGAAAUAUAACAAUUCUUCCAAACUUCCAAAGUAAAUAAAUAAAAGAAAACUGAGAGUUUUAAUUGUCCAUUUAUGUAUGCAAAACUGAUUAUCCACAUAUUAUAUUUAUAUGACACCACUCGAAUCGCAAUACAGGAAAUUUGAUUAAUAAUAUAGAUAGCUAGCUAUGAUACUAGCAUACGCUCCUAUGGGAAGAAAUAACACAUCAGGAUCUUGUUGGUAGCUAGUAGGUUAAAUAAGUUCUUAACUAAUAAAUGGAAUUACUAUAUGCUUGUCGAGAAGUCAAGUUUCAGUAGGCUAACUCUACCUUAUAUAUUUAGUCAGUAGGAUGGUGAAACAAACAUAUUUCUUAACUAACAAGAUAUUUAUAAAGUAGAGAUCAAGCUUUAUCAAUACUAGAAACUUGGUACAUUAGCAUGUGUUGAAUGAAUCUGACAUGGACUUUCUAACAAUUUGGAUUUACUGAUCAUGAUCUGCCCUCCUAUAAUUUCUCUUUGUACAUCAUUUAAAGAUAAUCAUAGCAUUCUCAUAAAAAAGGACAAGAUUAUACUUUCAAUUACACCAUACUAUGUUUCUAGGCAACUCAACGCAAUCUUAAAAGUUCAUGACUUUUGUGCAGUUUUAAAAUAUGUACCUGACUCCUUAUGGAUGAUUUCAAAAGUAUAAAAGAUUAAAACUUACCGUGACGUCGAUCAUACCAUGCUCUUUUAGUUUCUGUAGCAGCCAAAAUGAGUUUGAUGCAUUUAACGCCUUAAAAUCAACAUAUCGAUACUAUCAGUUGUCCUGCCUUGUCAUCUUGAUUCCACCUCCAAACUUUUUCGCCCUUUAACUUGUCUAUCAAUAGCAUCCUAUACCCAUGCUUUCUUUAUUCUAACCUUUCUUCGUGGUAUAGCCUAUAUUAGUCUAUUUUACAUAGCUAUUUCCUAACGAACCAAGAGGGGUAUCUGUUCGCCUAAUUAAAAGCAUAUUUCGAUCGCAGCUUCCACAACAAAGGAAUUAAUAACAAUAACUAAAUUAAUUCGCCAAUUGAAUGUAUAUAUUAUGAUCCUUAUGCGCAUAAUCUGGUAUAACGCUACGUUACGGUUUGUUGAUGUCCUUUCAAGACGGCGUCGGUCGGGUUCAUGGCGGUGUGACUCUUAGCGGCUUCGAUGAUGAGACGGAUGCCCGGAGGUCAGUGACGACGACAUCAAACAAGGCUGGAUUGAAGUGUAGCCCGGGUCCGUUUUACCGGAUCCACGCUCACUGCAUUUUUGUCUUUUCCAAGGGCGUUUUGUGCAAUAUAUCGAAACCGGCCAAAUCAAAUACACAUAAUAAAUAGUUAAAUAAAUGAGUGAGAAUCUCCAGUAUUAUGUUGAUAUUUCAAGUUCCAUAAAUUAUGAUGAUUUCUAGAAGAAAACUAAGAGCAUGUGUAAAUAGUAACUGAAUAAGCUCACUGUAGGUUCACUAUAGGCACGCUUUAUUAUAACCAAGAAGCAACAAUAUUAAAAACUAUACACUCAGGAGUGUGCAUAUUAUGAUGAAUAAAUUACUAACAAGGGGAAUAUAACGUUAUAAAUCUGUCCAAUAUUAUUAGUUAAAUUAAUGAAUAUAAAGUAGAUUAACAACAUGUGGUGGAAAUUUCAUUAAUGAAUAGCAGAAAGGUUUAAAAACAUAUGGUAGCGCAAUGGAACAAUAGAUAGUAACACAAAUAGCAAAAAUUAAAGAUCUCAUGAGUGGUUUUAAUUUGGAAACUAAAUCAAAGGCACAUAUAGGUCAAUAUUUGAUAAUGGAACUUACAACAGGAUAAAACAAUUACGCCAUCAAACACGACUUCAAAAAAUAUGUCCAUGAGAAAAGUGCUUGGAAACUAUAUCAAAAACUACCAUUACCUUUUGUUAUAUAUCACCAGAAGUCUUAUUUUUAAUUUAUAUAUAUAGAAAUCGUGUGGUAUGCAGAAGCAGCAUAAAUAGAUACUAGAAAUCGUUACGCAGAAGCAACAUAAAUAGAUACUAGAUAUCGUGAAUAAAAAAUAUAACCUGUGUACUGCUUUGAUCGAAGCUUCUUUGAGCGUUGUGGUUUCAGCAGAACAAACAACAACACAAUCGGACUUACCGAUUGUACAACAGUAGUCUUACGAUGUGGAAUUUUGAAAGGAGGAAGAAAACAGCAACUCAUCGGCGAGAUGGAUUGAUAACUCACAGGUUGAAAAGAUCUUUCACCGCCGCCUCUACGACCUCGCCAUCAGGUCGAUCAGACAUCGCAGCGAUGAAAAGGAAAAGGUGUUUCUAAAUCGCGGUUUAGGGUUGCGAUUCAGAGGUGAGGUGUGGCCUAGGUUAGUUUUACCGAGGUUCCCACAGACGGCGCCAACUGUACUUGCAGAAAAAGUACGGUAAGGAUUCUAGGGCUAAGAAUCAUCGAUUAGGGUUCUAAACUAGGGUUUUUUAGAAUGAAUAUCGGAUCCCUUGAGAAUGAUCUCAAGAGGGUUAUUUAUAGCCUGCUAAUGGGCUUUUUCCUGCGUGACUUAAGCUCUAAGAAAGCAGGGUUUUUAGUCUUUUUAGCUCAUUUAGGCGGUUUAGGGCGACUUCUAGAGGUUUCUAGAAGCCGAGGUGGACGGCGUCCUGAGGAGGACGUGCAUAGACCUCCAAAGUCCCUUCUAUAGAGCGUCUAAACCCUUCUGGAGGGCUUUUAAGCCCUUAGGAAUAUUAUGACGGUCCAUAUAUAUAUAUAUAUAUAUAUAUAUAUAUAUAUAUAUAUAUAUAUAUAUAAAUUAAAUAGUAAAUCACUUAGACCAUCUACGAUGAUUGGUGUUUCACCUAUUUAACACCACAUUAAAUAAGCAUCAUAUUGUGGAGUAUAAUAUACAGGGGUGCCUAUAGAGAAUGAUGACUAUGGAAGCACCCUCUCUCUCUUCAUUUUUUGCGGGUCUCAUUUAAUAAUUCUUCAUAAGAUAAAUAAAUUUUGUUGAAAUGCAAUGAUAUAAAAUUAUUUGUAGGAUCUAUUUAAUAACUUCUUUUGAGGUGUUGGGUUGGAGAAAAUUAGUACUUAUUAAGUAUUACAAUAAAAUGAGUGAUGUAGACAUAGAGGACCCACUUAAGCAUCGAGUAAACCCUCAUUUGGUUCUCUAAAAAUGUACCUCGCUAUCAGACACAUCCCUGGAUCAUGAAAACGAACCAAAAACUCCCUCAAUGUCUGUUUCUUUAGUUAUACACGUCCAAAACGUUAAACUUCUAUUAACUCUAAUGAUGUGUCAUUUAGUUUUGCCAUGUCAGAUGCUUAUAUGGGAUGUCCAUGAUGGUGAGGGACGAAAAUGAUAACAAAACCUCUAAACUUCUGGAAAAAGAAGAAGAAACUCAAAUCUUCAUCUUCUUCCUCAAUUCCAAGAUUAUAAUCACCUAGGUUUUGCACACAUAAAAGUAAAGAGAAUAGCAUCUUAAAAUCUAACAUAACCCACCUGAAAAAACACCUUAAAUCUCAACAUCACGUGCUUGAACAAAUUUCAAUUUUUCUCAAAUCUCACAUCUCAAAAACCAAUAUUUAUCAUUUUUCUUAGAUUUCACCCAACAAACUAAAGAUUGGUUUAGAAGUCUUCGAAAAGGUUUUUCUUUCUCUAAAAUUUACAACAGAAAAGGAAAUCAAUAAACACCAACAACACAAACACAAUCACAUACACAACGAAGAAAUGAAUAACCCUACGUAUGAGAGUUGAUGUUGUUGGUUUGAGAAAGAAGAUGAUGGUGUUGUUGUUGAUGUUGGUGAUUGAUAGAUAUUUGGCAAGUGAACCAAAUUCGAUCGAAGUAAUAAAAAGUUCGUUUCCACGAGGACUGUAUUUAACUUCUACUUAGCAAUUUCAUUAUUAAAAAGGAUGUAUAAAUUUAUAUUGGUGCCCUAGGCAGUUGAGUUGAUUUAGUAACAUAAACUGAUUAAAAACAAUAUAGAAUUGGAUUCAGAAAAUUGAGAGAAGUAUGGUUAAGUCCUUCGAAUCCUCCAAAGCUCUCCUAUGGUAAUUUGCACUCCUAAAUACGAUCAAUGAUUAUUUAGUUUCACGACGGAUUAACUUAGUAAUUCUAUCCAAUCUCUUGACCUAGAAUUCUCCCCGCAAGUGACAACUCCUUAAUCUCUUAAGUGAAUUCGAAACCAUAGGAGGUAUUAAACGAACGUUAAUCCCUAUAUCAUAACCUAAUAAUGAUCUAUCUCUAGCUUGAUUACUGAGGUUAAACCUAUUACUAUUUCAGAGUUAAAAGCCAGGGUUAGUGGCCAUUCAAUUUCUAUGAUCAAUAUGCAUAUUCAUAACGCUAGGGUUAAUAGUUUAUCAUAAACAUACAUAAGGCAUUAAGCACAAAGUAAUAUGAAUAAAAACUAAACUUUCAUUGAUGUUCAAAGGAGUUCAACAAAUUAGGGUUCCCAUAGGAUUACAUCAGAUUCAUCUCAAGAAUUAACCACAAAAGAAUUAGUUACUCAAAGCUAAAGUAUAAGAUAACUAACAUAAGAAAAAAGGAUUCAUACAUGUGAAGGAUGAUUGACUCUUAGUUUUGAUGGUUUCCCACCAGAUCUCCAAGUCUCUGCUCCAAAAUAUGCCUUUAGGUCUCAAAAUUCGUCAACCCUUCAUCUGAAAACGCCUCUUUAUAUUUAUAAGCAGGUCAAAAUCGGCCACCGUGCUCCAAAAUCGGUGGCCGAUUUCAAUAGAACGCGUGCCCAGAAAGUACCAAAUCGGUGGCCGAUUUUUCACGAGGCUAAAGCUCAAAAUUGCAGCAAAAAUCGGUGGCCGAUUUCUCUUCAUCGGUGGCCGAUUUCCAAUCUUGAAAACUUCAAUUUCUUCUUCUUUUGUAGCUUGCAACUCCAUGAAUUACAAUAAAUAACCCCUAAAAUUACAUGAAAAAUGUCUACUAAAAGAGUAAUGACAGAAUGUCAUCAGUGAUGUUUGGUUUUGAGAAAGAAAUCAACUUGCACCACUGGGUUAACUCUCCCCCUCCAUCUUCUUCUGCUGCAGAUUUAGUUUUAGGUUUCUAAUAAAUUAGCUUUAGAUGUUUGAAUAUUCUAUUUAAUAAGCUUUAAGCUUCAACUUUAUUGUAAAUGUGUUAAUAUAAUAAUAAAAUGAGAAUUUAUGUGUAUCAUUUUGUCCUUUUAUUUUUGCAUUUAUUUUAUGAUUUUCACAUCUAAAUAAUAUAAAAUAAACCAAAUUUUUUUUGGUAAAAGCCAUUUUCGAAUUAUAUAAUCCAAAAAUUUAUGAAAAUCUUGUUCGGAUUAUAUAAUCCAAACCAAUGAUAUUUUGGAAAAAAAAAUAGGGCGCAUGAAAAACACAUAGAAUGAGAAAAAUAAUAGGAAAAAAUAGGAGGCUUUGUAGAAAGCCUUAAAAAGGAGACUUUUCAAUUUAUAGAUUUUUUAACAGCUCUAGGUGCAACACCGUGUUUUUAGAUUCAACAUAGCUAAUUAAUUAGGCAAAUUCUAUGGUACACCCAAUAAUUUGAGUGUAUUGGUACACCAAAUCCUUAAAUUAAUAGUUAAAUGAGUUAUUUUUUGUAGAAAAAAAUAUUUUCUAUCACCUAUAAUUAUAAUAACUAAAUCUUAUUUACCAAAAACGUAAACACAAUAAAAUUUGAUUUUUCUGAAUUCCUAUUACUCAUAAUAGAGAAUUUUGAUUAUUUUUUACAAUAAAAUGUAGAAUAAUUUAGUAUGAUUUUUCUAAAAUAUGAAAUGAUUUUUUUUCCUAUAAAAUGAUAUUUUCUAAAAUAUAUAUGUCAACAAACACCUAUUUCUUUUAUAAAAAAUGAUAGUUUGUUUAUAAAAAUGUAAGCGAGAGUACCGGUACACCUUAAUUUGCGGGUGUACCGUAGAAGUUCCCAAUUAAUUACUCACUCUGUCCCUGACCUGUAUGUAAGCCCCUUUUACAUUUUUCACAUUGUUUAAGAAAAGUUAUCAGUGUAAAUAAUGUGUAUGUUUUGUGUGUUAGUAUUACCAAAUUAUCCUUUGUUUGUAUGUGUAAUUUAACUUUCCAUAUUUCAAGAUUAGUAGUAUUAAUUAGGGGCAUGUUUAGGAAAAAAUAAUAAAUGCAUCUAGUAAUUUGAAAAGAGGUUUACAUUCAGGGAUAAAAAUAAAAUCAAAUAGGUGCUUAGUAGCUUAUACAAAUUUGUUCAUGCUUAAUAUUGUGUUUGGAAAAUGUUACAUAGACACCCUUUAGUCUCAUACACCCCAUGUACUAGGAAGAGAGAAAAGGAGAUGAAAGAGAAAGUAUGCUUUUGUGGGGUCUAUGUAUUAUCACCUAAAGCUUUCUAUGUAUCAUAACUCUUUGUUCUUUUAGAGCGUUUAGAGCGUCCAUGCUUAAUUUAAUGCAAAAUGAUUAUAAUACACACGCACACGCACACGCUUGAACUUCAUAGCAUGAACGAGCUUGACAAGUUUCAUUGAUCUAUCUUGUACUUCAAGCAUGUCCCAAGUGGACCCAAUUGUGCGUGUUUUUAGUCUAAACUUGAGUCAACACAAACGUAUAAGCACCUUUGACCCACUUGUUUCUAUCAUGUUUUCAACGUGACAAUUUUCUUUGUUUUUUCGAAGUUUCUAUGCAUGAACAUGCCUAUAUAAGCCAUGAACUCAUCUCUUAUGCAUAAAAUCAAUUAAUCCAAUCCACACUCUUUGAAUUUUAGUUACCAACAACACUUUUAAAGCUUUAGAGUUUAAAACCAAAGAGAGCUAGGAAAAAACAAAGUUUAUAUCGUCUUUGUUUUCUAACUUCAAACUAUCAAUGGUAGUAGAGAAAUUUGCAAAAUUCUUAUUUAAGAAGAAGAACCACCACAAGUGUUACCCUCAACCUAAUGAAGAGUUGCCAUCUUCAUCAUUACAUGAUUUUCACUCCCAUGUAUCCAAACACAUUGACCAAUUAGCAUUGGAAUUGAAACCCGAGUCGGAAAUCUUAUCGUUAUCAUGGUUUCAAGGAUGUUUUGGUCUUUUGCCUCUCAUCAACAAGGUUUUUUGCAAAACUUGUUAUGGACAUUGAUUAUCCAAUGACUAAAUGGAACGUUGAUUCAAUUGAAGUUUAUCUCAACUAUACCAUGAGUUUGUUGGAGGUUCUGAAUUUCAUUUCUUCUUCUCUUUCUCAUCUUGGCCAUUCAAGGCUUUCUUUGGCUCAUGGUUUGACUUUGGUGGAGAAGAAGAAAUCACUUUCUUUGGCUAGAAAUCAUUUGAAAGCAAUUCAACCAGCAGGGUGUUUUAGCACCAACUUUGGUAAAUCUUUUCACACGCAAGAUGAUAAAGCAAAUAUUGUUUCUGGAAAGGAGUUGAUUGAUCGUUAAAUUGUAAAGGAAAUGAAGAGUACUGGAUUUUGGGUAUGUGGAGUUCUCUUGUCUUGCUUUUAUGGUGAUGCUAAGCCAUACAUGGAGCUAAGAAAAAUUGUUGGUGGGUUUGAAAAUUCUAUAGUUUCCACACUUGAUCAUAAAAUCAGUGAAAAGAUAGUGAAGAAAAUGCCAUGCUUUAGUGAGAUCAAAGAAAUGAACAAAUUUGUUGCUCGCCUUGUUGCAGGCGAUGAAGUAAAAGAUGAUGCAACCAAGGAAUUUCAGAGAAAUCUGUGCGGUGAUAUAAGCGCGAAGGUGGAUCAUCUAUUUGAUGAUAUAAUGAAUCAGAGAACUGAACUAGUUGAUGGAUUUUGACUCCGUCAACAAUAACCAUGUAGACUGCACAGCCACCGUGCCGGAGCACCACACACCAACGUUGCCAUUAUCCGUUCAUUACUAGACAUAUCAGUACAUAAUUAAGAUAGAAAGGAAAAAUACAAAGUAAUAUUUACAUUGUACAAGAGUAAAAUAAACCAAACACGCUUAUUAGAAAGAAAAACAAAGGGCACAAUUUAGAGUUUUCACAGUUCAAUAGGCCAAAACAUGGUUAAAGAUUUCUUUCUUGGGUGGCUUACUCUUGUGAUGAAUAUCAGCAGCAAACCAACAUAACAAGCAGGGAUCACACACAGCACAUGUUACAAUACCGAUUAAGUCUGACUUGAGAUUGUUCAACAAAAUCAAGAAAAGUACUGCUAUGUUUUCAGUACAAGUUUAAUCUACACAAACUCUAGGUAUCUUAGCCAAACAAACCAAUACCACUCUUUGAAUUUUAGUUGUCAACCAAACAAAGUUUAUAUCAUUUUUUUGUUCUAACUUUAAAUUAUUAAUGGUAGUAGACAAAUCUGCAAAACUCUUAUUCAAGUUCAAUAUGUAGUGAAUUGAGUUUCUUUUGACGAGAAGAUAGCAGUUUCAGAGCUCGUUUCAUCUCCAGCACAAUUUUAGAAUCACCAAAUUUCACUCUCAGCAACCUUUACAGCCUCGGUUAUCUUCUUCAGAAUCCCACCGAUUUUCUUUAUUUGGGAGUAGUGGAAAAAACAAAUUAAAUAAAUACCAUAUAAUUUAUGAAAAACGGAUACGGAAACCAAACACGUACACCGCCACAAAAACCACUAAUAAUUUGAGAAAAUUACAUAAUUUAGCGUAGUGUAAUUACAAGUGUCGGUGUCGGAAAAAACACCCCUAAUCCGAGAAGUGUCCUUACUAUAAUCUAAUAAUCUAAUCCAAUCUAAUAACAAAGAAGACCUCACCUCACCACCCUCCGGGUUCCGAUUGAAAGCAUAAUAGGAUGCCUCCUUAAGCUUAGUUGUUUUGGUGGUGUACUGUACCUUGUUAGGUGCGGUAAUUAUCUAAUUAAACCAAAACCGUAUUCAAAAAUAGUUCUAAAUAGAAAAAUUAAAAUAAAAGACAAAAAGAUUAUGAUAAGCAUGCUAACAGUCUUAAACUUGCACGAUUUGUUAUCCAGCACUGCAUUGAUAUUCCAUUCAGCAUCGAAAAAGAUACAUUCAAUAAGAAAUCCAUUUCUUCUUCACUUUCUCAUCUUGGCCAUGCAAGGCUUUCUUUAGCUCAUGGUUUGACUUUGGUGGAGAAUAAGAAAUCCCUUUCUUUGGAUAGAAAGCAUAUGAAAGCAACUUUGGUAAAUCUUUCCACACAAUGACGGUAAAGGAAAGAUUGUUUAUGGUAAGGAGUUGAUUGUUCGGGUAGGUGUAAAGGAAAUGAAGAGUAUUGAAUUUUGGGUAUGUGGAGUUUUCUUAUCUUGUUUAUAUGUUGAUACUAAGCCAUACAUGGAGAUAAGAAAAAUUGCUGGUGGUUUUGAAAGUUCUAUAGUUUCCACACUUGAUCUCAAAAUCACCGAAAAGGUAGUGAAGAAAAUGCCAUGAUUUAGUGAGAUCAAAGAGAAAAAGAAUUUUGUUGCUCGCCUUGUUGCUGGUGAUGAAGUAAAAGAUGAUGCAACCAAGGAAUUUCAGAGAAAUUUGUGCGAGAUAGGGAUGAUAUUUGAUGAUAUAAGCAAGGAGGUUGUGAUGACUCAGAACUGAAUUAGUUGAUGGCUUUCAACUCAAGAAAUAGCAAAUAUAAUCCAUUGUUUGAUUCUUAAAUUGUAUAUAAUUUUCUAGUCUAGUGUAAUACUCAAUGAUUUUCUAGUCUAGUGUUUAAAAAGAUACAUUCAAUAACACGAUUAUCAAAUCAAGAUUCAAAUCAUGAUCGGAAGACCUCACUACAAGAAAAUAUAAGAUAUGAUAUGCUAGGAUACCUGUGCUAGAGAAUGUAAUGGUAGCAAAUAUCAAAAUAAUUAGUUAUCCUUUGACUGAAAUUAGUUUUAUUUGGAUUUUUUAUAUUUAAAUAAUUAUAUAAAAAAAAAUUAGAAAAAAAAACGUCAUCGCAGAACACACACCAUCCGGCGAUAGAUACGCAUUCUCUCACCGUCGCCGAUAUCCACCAUACGCAUUCUCUCAACGUUAUCGCCUAUUUUUUUAUUUUUUUUCCAAUUGUGAAUCAAAUUUUAUAAUGACAUAACUAUAUUAUAAGCUGAUAUGUCUUACAUAAAACCUCAAUUAUUACAGAUUUAUACAAAGUUUAUAAAUUAAAGGGGAUGAUUACACUAAGUGUAGGUAGAAAUUCAUUAAAACGAAAAACAAACUCCCAAUUUAGAUCUUUCACAGUUCACUAUGCCAAAACUCUUGAGAUGAACAUCAGCAAGCAACCUACACCACAAGAAGCAAGUAUUAUGAGUCCAGGAAAAGCGAAAGAGCAGUGGCGGAACUUGAAUAAUUUUACGAGGAAGUGAAAGAUAUACAACCGCAUAAUAAAAUUAUUUAUAUACCAAAUAUGUAAUAAAAUGAAUGUUACAACACCUAUGAAAUCUAACUUCAGAUUGUCCAACAAAAUCAAGAAAAGUACUAAUAAGCUUUCAGUAUCACACAGCAAGUGCAGACCAUCAAGAUCUUAAGCAAUUUAUUUAGAACUUUGAAAAUAAGAAAAAAACACAGUACCUCUGCCUCAAUGUUGUGUUCCGAACGUCCUUUCUCAAUUAUAAUGCUUGCGAAACUGAAGAUAUGAUGGGAUCACAUGUUCUUAUAGCAAAAAUAGUCACUUGAGCUCUUCAAUCUGUAACAUGAUAUAGGUAGAAAGACCAAGUUAAUAGUGACAUAUUUCAUUUCAAGAUAAGAGAUGCUGGAAGAUCAACAUUGGAAUAAGAAUAAAGCAAAUCAGUUAAUUUUCCAAAGAAAUUUGUGUAUUUCAAAUUUAUAUAAUUAUUUUAAAUAAAAAAAUUAAUACAUACACAUCAAUUUUCUUCAAUCAACUUCAAAGCAAUAAAAAUUAAGUUCUCCGGCCUCUAAUGAGAGGACCAUGUUGGUCAGUGCACAUGAAUGUAAUUGAAUUCAUAUAAAUGACAUUGUACAUGAAAUGAGAUUAUCUUAGUUAAGAAACAAGAUCAUUAACAUGGAAUCUUGUUUAUCUACUUGUUCUUGUUCCAUUUAUUUAUACUUCAUAAACACAAUCACAAUCAUGAGAAAUUAUUCUCGACUAGUAACGUAAAAGAAAUUCAUACCUGAAACAAGGAGGAGGCACACCUCCUUCCAUUCCCAUUAUUCAUAUUAUCACUUUGCCAUUUAUUUCUAUCACAGGGAUAUAAGAAAUUUCAGACCAAUUCCUGCCUCCCUCACUUUCAUACCUUUCUUCUAAAACAGGGCAUUUAGAAAUGCUCAGUAACUUUAGAGAGGAAGGGAGACUGUGUUCUGGAAAUGACUCAAGCCUUUGACAUUUGUAAAAAGAAAGUGUUUUGAGAGAGGAAGGUAACAUGACCUCUGCCAAGGACUCAAGUUGUUGACAGUUAUAAAAAUUAAGUGUUUCAAGAGCGGAGAGUUGUCGAAGCCCAUUUCCACCUAAGCAUUUCACUUCAGAGAGAUUACUUAUUGACAGAAACACCAAGGAAAUGGGUAGCAAUUGCUCCUUCAACAAGGUGUGAACAAUAUCAUCAUUAUCUUCAAUUUUCAAAUUUGUAAGAGAAGUAAGGCUUUGGAAACCCCCCCAUUCAAUUAAUGGCGGCAUCUUUGUUAUUCUCACAGAUGCAAUAGAAAUUGUUUGUAAUUUGGGAGGUAAGAAAACUCCUUCACAUAGUGACAACUCUAGUUUUGGAAGAUGGCGGAGACUCAAACUUUCAAGAGUUGUGAGGGUGUCCAUUCGUUGAGGUAGUGAUAUAAGGGCCUUACAGGAACUUACGUGAAGUUCUUGGAGGGUUGAGGAGUGAUAGGAAGAACUUUCUGAAAUAAAAAUGGAUUCCAGACCAGUACAACCAUCAAUGACAAGCUUUUGGAGCUUAGGAAAACCAUCCAAUGGGAAGGAGGAAAGUGAGCCACAGCUGCUGAGUAAACUCAACUCCAAAAGCGAUGUGUAAUUGCUCCACGUUUCCGGAGGCAUGAAUGAUAACUUCUCGCAACUAUAAAUAAGAAGUUCCUGCAAAGAAGUGGGUAGACCUUCCCUUGGAAAUGCAGUUAAAGACGGAAUUCUACUGAGUCUCAAGAAUCGAAGACAUGUGCUGCUCAAAAUCAUUUGGGGAAGGGAGAAUAUUGUAUCAAAGAAAUAUACCGAUACCGAUUGCAGUAGACAAGGCAAAUCACUCUCAACAAACGGCCAUUGAUUAUUUGUAGAAUGUAAAUCUCCCCAAAUAUCUAUAGCUUUUAUUGAGGAGGGCCAUUCAAGAGUAGGUGGUAAUUCAAAAAGACGAGGACAACCAUGAUAUACAAAUGUUUCUAUGGAAGAAAGAUGAUUAGGCAAAUUUCCCCUCAGUUCGGGACAGUUAUAUAAAAUCAGAGAUUUAAGACAAGGAAAAGGAAAUAUGCCAUCUUGAAAGGGAAGCCAUUUCUUCCAAUUUGGCAUUUUCACAAAUUGCAACUUCUCAAGCGAUGGAAAAGGUUGAAAUGAAGAAUUGGAACCUCCUCCAACAAUGCCAUAGAACUCUGGACCAAUUGUCUCCAAUAUAUACAUACCUCUUAUACUUAGGUCCUUGAGAGAAGAUAGUUGUCCUAGUGGUGGAAGUGUCACACAAUAUCCACAAUGUUGAAUUGACAGUGACACCAUGUUAGAAAAUGAAGAAUCUCCCAACCAACUUGGAAAGCUUGUCCCACCAUACAAGUCAAUGUUCAAUCUGUUUAGGUUUACCGGGGGUUUCAACAUAUCAAGCACAUCUUUCCCUUUAAGUGGGUCAUCAGUUUCAACGCCCCACUGUAGCGUUAAUUCUUCAAUAUGUUCUUUGCUCUUUAAGUCAGCAUCAUAUGCCUCCGCAACAUCAAUGACGUUCUGCAGGUUCUUGAUAAAUAACUUCCCCUGUAGCUUUGGAAACCUUGCAAGCUCUCUAACACUUAAACCAACAUUUUUCUUGCCUACUAUGAAAACAGAUAAAGUUUGAAGAUUUUCUAGCUCAACAAUUUGCUUUGGCAUCUCUGUUAUGCCUGUGAAAAUGAUAUCAAGGUGACGUAAAUUAAUCAACUUUCCGACAUGUUCCGGCAAUUCAAUGAGCUUUGAGCAAAAUGAUAAGAUCAAGGUUUGCAAAUAGUAGAGGUUACAUAUUGUGUCAGGCAAGCCUUUGAUUUGAGUGUGAGAGAGAUCUAGAUAGCGCAACUGCACCAAACUGCCAAUUGAAUCUGGAAGCAUUGUGAUGUUUGUAUAUUUUGAUAACGAUAGCACACGCAACCUUCCUAAUGUGGGUAGCAAAUCAUCGACCACCUUUAUAGAUAAGUAAUUAAAAUUCCUCCAAGAGCAACAGGGUAGGAAGGUUCUCAAGCAUUUGAGUUUGUGGAAAAGCUUAAACUUCUUGGCAAUGUCAUACUGCUCUUGAUUGUAUGAGCAAUGACGAACAUUCUUGGAAGCGUCACCACCAAAUUCAACCCUGUAACAACUUUUUCCAGAUACGAGUGUAGCUAACUCAUUAACAAAAUCGUGCAUGACAAACCUUUCUCCUCUAGUAUCAACAUGUAGCUGUUGAAUUAAUGAUCUGGAUAACAGUUCAGCAAAACAAUCAUCACCUACUUCUUCAAUGGGUUUUUCGUCUUUAGAAUGAUCAAGGAAGCCUUCUGCCAUCCACAACAAUACCAAUUGAUUCCUAUUAAGUGAAUAGUCCUUUGGAAAAAUGGAACAAUAUGAAAAACAUCUUUUCAAUUGGGAGGGAAGAUAUUGAUAACUCAGAAGCAAUGCAGGUAACACAUUGUCAUUUGGUAAGUUCCAUAUUUUGUUGUUCAAAACUUCAGUCCACUCUUUGGCAUCUCUUUUUGAACGCAAUACUCCUCCAAGUGUUUUUGCAGCUAUGGGCAACCCAACACACUUUCUUGCAAUCUUUCUACCAAUUGCUUCUAGGUUUGAGCAUUUAUUGUCACAAAAGUUUUCACUUCCAAAUGCAUGCUUUGAGAGUAAAGACCAUGUAUCUUCAUUAGAUAAAACUUCUAAUUUAUGAAUAGGAAAUGUAUGUGCAACCUCUGCAACUUUUUGUUGGCGUGUUGUGACGAUGACCCUGCUUCCACUGUUUCCAUUAAUCAAAGGUGUUACAAGUUCAUCCCAAUCAUUAUAAUUGUCAUUCCAUAAGUCAUCCAACACAAACAAAAAUCUUUUGGCUCUCAAAGUUUUCUUCAGUUCAACUCGAAGAAAAUCAAGAUUAUUGUUUUCCCAAGCCCUUGAAGUGACAGAUUCAAGGAGAGUUUUAGUUACUCUUAAAAUAUCAAAAUCCUCCGAUACACAAGCCCAUGCUUUGAGAUCAAAGUGUUCUUGAACUUUUUCAUCAUUGUAAGCAAUUUGUGCAAGGGUUGUUUUUCCGACACCUCCCAUACCUAAAAUUGCAACAACACCGAUAUUGUUAUUGCUAGUGCUGCUCUUUGAUAGCAACAUGUUCGUUAUUAUCUCUUUGUCAUCCUUUCUACCAACCAUGAAUGAUUCAUUAACCACAGAACUAGAAGGUGUUCUAUGGAAAAUUCUAGCACUUUUAGUUUGCAAACCAAGGAUAUCUUUGUUUUGUGCAAAAAUUUGCAGGUUGUCACACAUGGUCUUCAUUUGGGAAUUGAUCUCUCUGUAGAUGGUGUUAAAAGGAGAAGAAAGGAAGCUCCACACCUGACUAGUUUUGUUUGUGGAUUGUGUAUUCUCCACCUUGCAUCGCAGUGAUUCAUAACUAAUUUGAUUCAGCAAAUCCUCGGCAUCAAAGAUAGCAUCUUUCAAGUCAUCAAGCCAUUGUUUGACAGCAGGAUUGUUGAUCUGCUUCUCAUCAGCAUCAUCCAGCACAGCUUGAAGAACCAGCAGUGUUGUUUGUAACUGCUUCAAGAGUGAGACAUUCAGCUUUUUGUUGUUGAUGAAAUCACGAAACUCAGUUGAAGUUAGUUGGUCAAGCAUGCUUUGGACAGAAGCAGAGAGAAAUGCACCUCCAACCAAAGUUGCAGCCAUCUUUCUCAAGUGAAAUUGUUUUCUGAAUGUCGAAUGUUGAAAACAAGUUUGGUAAGGUACCUUUAUGCAGGGAAACUUCGUUGAUACAACUAAGGAGCACAAAUUAUAGGGAAACAAAUUAUAAUAGUAUAGUAAAUGUGCUAAGGAGCAAACAAAUAUACAAAUAUAAUAAUAUAAUAAAGAUAUUGAUUCCUGUAAACCAUUGAAGUUAGGCCGGCAAUGAAAAAUAUAAUAAUUCAUACAAUUAUUCACCAACUACAAGAACCACCGAAGUCUUUAUUUUAAAGUUUUUAUAUUACAUACUGAUGUUGGCUAAUAAAUAAAUAAAUCAAUUAAAAAAAUGUAACCCUCGAGAGAUUUAGUGGACAAAUAGAUUUUGUGUCAAAAGAAUCUAGAGAUUUUUUUUUUUAGAGAUUUUGAAAAAAAUCUGAAAUUAUUUUUGUUUGCCUACUAACCAUAAAAAUCCAUUUUUUUUUUAAAAAAAAUGAGUUCUAACAUGCACAUGUGUUAUCUCCUUGUUGUUGAAAAAAAUGGAUUUUGAGAAAAGCUAACCCUAAUAGCUUUUCAUUUUAGGGUCAAAAUAGAUUUUUUUUCAUAAAAUGAUUUUUCUAAAAAUCCUAAACAAACACUUAAAAAUGAAAAAAGUAAAUUUUUUAAGGGAAAAAAUAAUUUUUUUUAGAAAAAUUCUGAAACAAAUGGACCCUUGCUUAAAUUCAAGGGUUAAUAGGCUUUUACCCCCCAGCCAUUUGGGGGAUUUUUGGUUUACCCCCCUAAGAAUUUUUUUUUUUGGAGAUCCCCCCUUGCCAUUAGAAGAUUCCUUGGUUUACACCCCCAAGUCAUCUGAUUGGAUUAAUGUGAUGAUUUGGCACGCUGAUGUGUUAUUUUUUUUUAGUUUUGAUUUUUUUUAAAUUCCACGUGGCACUUAUAAUAAUUUUUUUAACAAAAAAUAAUGUUUAAGAUAUGAAAUACCUAAAGUACCCUUAAUGUUAAAUUAAAAAUCCAAAUUAAUUUUCUCUUCUUCUUCUCCAGCGCGACAGAACCCAGCACAACAACGCAACCUUCAACCCACAUUCAUCAUCAUGAACAUUCAAUCCACUUUCACCUUGUCAACAUUAUUUAACAAUCCUCCUCAACAAACAAUUCUUUAACAAAUUCAUUCAACACAUCAUCAACAAACACAUACCUAUCAGAACAACCCCUAAUCAUCAACAAACAAACCUAAACUUCACUUCCAAAACAAACAAAUCUAUCAUCAACAACAACUCCCUAAUCAUCAACAAAUAAACCUGGGCUGCCAAAACUUAACCCAGAAAUACAACAACAGAAAACUUUUGAAAAAUCCUCAUCCUCAUUUUUUAUUUCACACCCAAUUUCGCAGAACUUAAGCAUAACAACAACAACACAGCCGAUCUAGAAAAUUUUAAUUUUUUUUUCCAUAUUCAACAAAUUUUUGGAUUUGGAUUAAAUUUAUGAGAUUAAAAAGAUGAAGAGAAAAGAAAAGAACAAAGAUUUUGGGUUGGGUUGAAGAAGGAAUAAGAAGAUGAGGGAAAUUGUUGAAGAACAAGAAAAGGAUGAAGAGAAGAGGAAGGAGGAAAAGAAGGGUACGGUGGAGAGAAGAAAGAAGAGAAGGAUGAGUUUUUUUUUCUAUUAAAAGAAAUUUGAAUGGAAUAAACAAAAAUAGAAACAUAAUUUUUGUCAAAAAAAUAGUUGGAAGGAAGAAGAAAUAAGGAUGGGAUCUGGAGAAGAGAAGGAGAACAGUGGGGGAAGAAGAGAGAAAAGGAUGGAUCGCUGGAGAAGAAAAGAAAGAAAAAAAAGAAUUGAUUUUUUUAAUUUAUCAUUAUGGGUAUUUUGGGUAUUUCACAUUUUUAACAUACUUUUAAAAAUAAAAGAUUAAAAAAUUAUGACGUGUCAGUGCCACUUCACUCAUCAUCACACAGUUAACGUGCCACAUCAGCUCAUGAAUCCAGUCAGAUUGUCUGAGGGUUGAAAAUCAAAGAAUCUUCUCAUGGCAAGGGGGAAUCUCCAAAAAAAAAUUUCCUAGAGGGGUAAACCAAAAGUCCCCCAAAUGGUAGGGGGGUAAAAGCCUAUUAACCUUAAAUUCAAUAAUAAAUAUCACAACUAAAAUAAAUAAUAAAAUACGAUGAACCUUUGAUUGAUCAUGUUAAAAAAUUCAGAAAAAAUAGUACGACAAGAUGUUUAGAAAAAUUCUAUGCGUCGAAAAAUUUUAAACAAAUAGAUUUAUCUAUUUUUUGUAGCUAAAAGAUGUUUAGAAAAAUAUACAAAUCGUCAAGAAACAAAAGAAAUCAAAGUAGCAAAUUUGGAAAGUUUUUAUUUUAAACUUGGGAUUACUCGUUACACAUUCGAAGAUAAAUUACACGUUAAAAGAAAAAUCCACUACUUGAUGACAUCCCAAUUGUGAACCUCAGAGAUCAGUUAGUUUGAAAUACUUUAGUUGGGACAUAGUCAAACCAUAAUAUUGCAUUGCAAUUCAAAUUUUACUUUGAAAACGUUAUUUAAACAUUAAGAUUUAAGAGUGGCAAAAGAAUAAAUUCAAAGAAGCGGAGCCAUUUUUUUUUUAAUAAAAGAUGCUUAUAGCAUUUCAUUAAUAAUCAGAUGUUCAAUAUAACAAGGUACAUAAGAAUAAAUAGUGGGACUAGCUGAUAAUGUGGCAACCCCAGCUAGCGUGUGAGCUACCUCAUUGGCUUGUCUCCGGUUAAACUUGACCUUUGAGUUGGUGAGUUUCAAGUCGAAGAGACUUCUACAAGCGGAGAUAAUGGGCCCAAAUUCAGAGGCAUCUGGGUGAGAAUUAUUAAAAGCAUCCGCUGUAGUCUUUGAGUCCAAGGCAAAAUCUACAUUAUCGAAUCUCAUAUCACUUAGCCACUCCAAAGCAUAGUAAAGGACCAUAGCUUCCCCUACAUGACAGCGUGCAUAAUCGGCAACGGAAUAGCCUUAGCAAGCACAAAAAGUCCCCUUUCAUCGCGGAUACACAUGCCCAAACCUGUGAUAUUCAACUCAUUCGAAAAUGUGGCAUCGACGUUACACUUGACUCUACCUUGGUGAGGCCUCUGCCAUGACAAAGAGUGUUCAACAAAUGCGACACACACAACUGCUGCAUAUGGCUACACACGAGAGCUAUUCAUCUCAGAAUUGUUGUUAUUCGCUGCUACAGCUAGAGCGCUACUGCUGUUUGCUUCUGCAAAAAGGCUUUUGAUAUUGUGCGCUGUUGUAGAAGGUGUAUUAGCCAUGCUCCAGUCCUCAACAAGAUGAAUAGCCCUGUCCACAACCUACGCAACUGUUUCCGACACGCCUUGCCAGAGCUUUAAGUUUCUAUGUUUCCACAUGCUCCACAAAAGGGCAGCAAAAUGUUGACUCUCAUCGCAUGAAAGAUCCUGUACCAAAAGAAAAAUCAAGUCGGCAACACACUUAGAAUUAGCACAAGCACGUUGCACUUUCUCCCGAAUCCCUGCUCUAAACCACACCUGCACCAAAAAAGAGCAAUCAAAGAAAACAUGAUGAAGAUCUUCAGACGGUCCAUCGCAAAGAAAAAGCUAAUUUAGAAAGGACAUGGGACAUGAAAUGAGAUUAUCUUAAGAGGGACAUUUGUUACUCCAAAAACUAACAAAGCAUUGGACCUCAUGGUUUUCAAUAAUUUAUACUCCUACUUUAUCAUAAACACAAUCACGUUCAGAAAACAAAAUCUUACCUGAAACAAGGUGGCAAGCCUCCUUCCGUUUCAUGACUCAUAUUAUCACGUUGCGAUUUAUUUUUAUCACAGGGAUAUGAGCAAUUUUAGACCAAUUUUCAGAAACGUAUUCAUUACCAACAUCUUCCGCUAAUUCUUCACCUUGAGAAAGUUCGAUAAAUCCUUCAGCCAUCCACAACAAAACCAACUGCUUCCUAUCAAGUUCAUAGUCCUUCGGAAAAAUUGGACAAUAAGAAAAAUACAUUUUCAAAUGAGAGGGAAGAUAUUGCAACUUUUUCUUGGCGUGUUGUGAUGAUCACUCUGCUUCCACUUUUUCCAUAAAUCAAUGGAGUUACAAGUUCAUCUGAAUCGUUAUAAUUAUCAUUCCAUAAGUCAUCCAACACAACAAAAAAUCUUUGUCUCUCAGAAUUUUCUUUAACUCAACUCGAAGAAAAUCAAGAUUGUUACUUUCAUAUGCUCUUGAAGUGACAGAUUCAAGGAGAGUUUUUGAUGUUGAUGAAAUCACGAAACUCUAUUGAAGUUAGUUUGUCAAGCAAUGUUCGGACAGAAGCAGAGAGAAAUGCACCUCCAACCAAAGUUGCUGCCAUCUUUUCAAAGUGGGGUUGUUUUGAUGAAUGUUGAUUAACGAAGGCAAGGUAUAUAGCUUGAAAGGUGAAAACAAGUUUGGUAAGGUACCUUUAUGCAGGGAAUCUUCGUUUAGACUACCAAGAAGCACAAAUUAUGCAGGGAAACUUCGUUUAGACUACCAAGAAGCACUAUAAUUUCUUGUUUUAUUUGGUCUGAUAACUUUUGAAACGUCCGUUUUAGUCCCUCAAGUUUAUCUUUGUUUGUCAAACUUGUCCUUUCUGUUAAAUAUUUGAUUUUUCAUUAGUGAGUGCACAUGUGGCCAAUCCCACACAGCAGAUAUAAAAGAAUGGUUUCAUUUGCAAAGAGAGAAGCUACCAGUAAUAGAAAGAGGAAGAGAGAAUAUGAAGAGACAAGGGAGAGAAUACGAAGAAGGUUAGUUUUUAUAAGUAAGUAUUAAUCCUGUUAAUUUACAAUGCAGUUUGUAUAGUGUUUAUUUUUUGUUGCUAAUUUUAGUAAGAACACGAGCAUGACAAGUCUCAUUGAUCUAUCUUCUACUUCAAGGCAUGUCCCAAGUGGACCCAAUUAUGCGUGUUUUUAGUCUAAACUUGAGUCACUCAACACAAACGUAUAAGCACCUUUGACCCACUUGUUUCUAUAUUCAUGUUUUCAACGUGACAAUUUUCCAUGUUUUUUGAAGUUUGUAUACAUGAACAUGCCUAUACAAGCCGUGAACUCUUAAAAUCAAUUAAUCGACACACAACCUUAAUCUAAACAAACUCUAAGUAGCUUAGCUAAACAAACCAAUACCACAUUGUCAACCAAAGGGAGUUAGGAGCAAACAAAGUUUAUAUCAUUUUUCUGUUCUCACUUAAAUUAUCAAUGUUAGUUGACAAAUUUGCAAAACUCUUAUUCAAGAAGAAGAAUCACCACAAGUGUCCUGUUUCUUUUUUUCAUCAUAAAUCUUGAUAUUCAAGUCUUUGAGUUCGAUAUGUAGUGAAUUGAGUUUCUCUUGACGAGAAGAUAGCAGUUUCAUCUCCAGCACAAGUUUAGAAUCACCUAAUUCACUCUCAGCAACCUUCACAGCCUCGGUUAUCUUCUUCAGAACCUCACUGAUUUUCCUGAUUUGGGACUAGUAAAAAAAAAUAAAAAAUAAUUAAAUAAAUAAAUAAAUACCAUAUAAUCUACGAAACACGGACACACCGACACGCUAAUAAUUUGAAAAAUUUACAUAAUUCAGUGUAGUGUAAUUACAAGUAUCGGUGUCGUGUCGGACACGACAGGUGUCAGACACCGAGACAUGCCUACUCUGAGAAUUGCCUUUACUUCAUAUCAUAUGAUCUAAUAAUCUAAUCAAAUCUAAUAACAAAGAAGAACCCACCUCACCACCCUCGAGGUUCCGAUUGAAAGCAUAAUAGGAUGCCUCCUUAAGCUUAGUUGUUUUGGUGGUGUACUGCACCUUGUUAGGUGCGGUAAUUAUCUAAUUAAACCAAAACCAUAUUUAAGAAUAGUUCUAAGCAGAAAAAUUAGAAGAAAAGAAAAGGAGAUUAAGAUAAGCGUGCUAACAGUCUUAAACUUGCGCGAUUUGUUAUCCAGCACUGCGUUGAUAUUCCAUUCAGUGUCGAAAAAAAUGGGGUCGGUCAAAUGGUAGAUCAGGAAUUGCGGAACAAACUUGACUGCCUGCCUGAAAAAUCACUGCUACGACGAGGUUCCCUGUUACAGAAAGAAGGUUGUUGUUGUUUUCAGUAAAAAUACGUUAAAGGAAAAUCAUUCAUUAGUAAAGAAAAUUACUCCUACUUACAUUGUUAAAUAGCAAAAAAUAAUCCAUUGCUUGAUUCUUAAAUUGUAUAUAAUUUUCUAGUCAAGUGUAAUACUCAAUGAUUUACUUGCACACAGCAGGGUGUUUAAAAAGAAACAUUCACGAUUAUCAAAUAAAGAUUCAAAUCUUGGUCGGAAGACCUAUUUUUUUUCCAAUUGUGAAUCAAAUCUUAUAAUGACAUAACUAUAUUAUAAGCAGAUAUGUCUUACAUAAAACCUCAAUUAUUACAGAUUUAUACAAAGUUUAUAAAUAAAAGGGACCGAUUACACCAAGUGUAGGUAGUAAUUCGAUACAACGAAAGUCAAAGCUCACAAUUUAGAUCUUUCACAGUUCAAUAUGCCAAAACUCUUGAGAUGAACAUCAACAAGCAACCUGCACAACAAGAAACAAGUAUGAGGCCAGGAAAAGCGAAAGAGCAGUGGUGGAACUUGAAUAAUUUUACGAGGAAGUGAAAGAUAUACAACCGCAUAAUAAAAUUAUUUAUAUACCGAAUAUGUAAUAAAAUGAAUGUUACAACACCUAUGAACUCUAACUUGAGAUUGUCCAACAAAAUCAAGAAAAGUACUAGUAAGUUUUCAGUAUCACACAGCAAGUAUAGACCAUCAAGAUCUUCAGCAAUUUAUUUAGAACUUUGAAAAUCGAAAAAAACACAGUACCUAUGCCUCAAUGUUGUGUUCCGAAGUUCCUUUCUCUUUUAUAAUGCUUGCGAAACUGAAGAUAUGAUGGGAUCACAUGUUCUGAUAGCGAAAAAUAGUCACUUGAUCUCUUCAAUCUGUAACAUGAUAUAGGUAGAAAGACCAAGUUACUAGUGACAUAUUUCAUUUCAAGAUAAGAGAUGCUGGAAGAUCAACAUUGGAAUAAGAAUAAAGCAAAUCAGUUAAUUUUCCAAAGAAAUUUGUGUAUUUCAAAUUUAUAUAAUUAUUUUAAAUAAAAAAAUUAAUACAUACACAUCAAUUUUCUUCAAUCAACUUCAAAGCAAUAAAAAUUAAGUUCUCCGGCCUCUAAUGAGAGGACCAUGUUGGUCAGUGCACAUGAAUGUAAUUGAAUUCAUAUAAAUGACAUUGUACAUGAAAUGAGAUUAUCUUAGUUAAGAAACAAGAUCAUUAACAUGGAAUCUUGUUUAUCUACUUGUUCUUGUUCCAUUUAUUUAUACUUCAUGUUGCAAAAACUAACAAAGCAUUGGACUGUUGGUUUUCAUAUAUUAAUACUCUGGUAGCUUAUAAACACAAUAACAAUCAUGAGAAAUUAUUAUUCUCGACUAGUAACAUAAAAGAAAUUCAUACCUGAAACAAGGUGGCACGCCUCCUUCCAUUCCCAUUAUUCAUAUUGUCACUUUGUCAUUUAUUUUUAUCACAGGGAUAUGAGAAAUUUCGGACCAAUUCCCCCCUCUCUCACUUUCAUACCUUUCUUCUAAAACAGGGCAUUUAGAAAUGCUCAGUAACUUUAGAGAGGAAGGGAGACUGUGUUCUGGAAAUGACUCAAGCCUUUGACAUUUCGAAAACUAAAGUGUUUCCAGAGAGGAGAGGUGUCGAAGCCCAUUUCCACCUAAGCAUUUCACUUCAGAGAGUUUACUUAUUGACAGAAACACCAAGGAAGUGGGAAGCAAUUGCUCCUUCAACAAGGUGUGAACAACAUCAUCAUUAUCUUUAAUAUACAAAUUUGAAAGAUAAGUAAGGCUUUGGAAACCCCAUUCAAUUAAUGGCGGCAUCUUUGUUAUUCUCACAGAUGUAAUAGAAAUUGUUUGUAAUUUGGGAGGUAAGAAAACUCCUUCAUAUAGUGCAAACUCUAGUUUUGGAAGAUGGUGGAGAUACAAUCUUUCAAGAGCGGUGAGGGUGUCCAUCCGUUGAGGUAGUGAUAUAAGGGCCUUACAGGAACGUACGUUAAGUUCUUGGAGGGUUGAGGAGUGAUAGGAAGAACUUUCUGAAAUAAAAAUGGAUUCCAGACCAGUACAACCAUCAAUGUAAAGCUCUUGGAGCUUAGGAAAACCAUCCAAUGGGAAGGAGGAAAGUGAGCCACAGCUGCUGACUAAAGUCAACUCCAAAAGCGACGUGUAAUUGCUCCACGUUUCCGGAGGCAUGAAUGAUAACUUCUCGCAAUUAUAAAUAAGAAGUUCCUGCAAAGAAGUGGGUAGACCUUCCCUUGGAAAUGCAGUUAAAGACGGAAUGCUAUCGAGUUUCAAGAAUCGAAGACAUGUGCUGCUCAAAAUCAUUUGGGGAAGGGAGAACAUUGUAUCAAAGAAACAUACUGAUACCGAUUGCAGAAGACAAGGCAAAUCACUCUGAACAAACGGCCAUUGAUUAUUUGUAGAAUGUAAAUCUCCCGAAAUAUCUAUAGCUUUUAUUGAGGGCCAUUCAAGAGUAGGUGGUGAUUCCAAAAGACGAGGACAACCUUUAUAUACAAAUGUUUCUAUGGAAGAAAGAUGGUUAGGCAAAUUUCCCCUCAGUUCAGGACAGUUAUAUAAAAUCAGAGUUUUAAGACAAGGAAAAGGAAACAUGCCAUCUUGAAAGGGAAGCCAUUUCUUCCAAUUUGGCAUGUUAUCAAAGUAUAAAUUCUUAAGGGAUGGAAAAGGUUGAAAUGAAGAAUUGGAUCCUCCUCCAACAAUGCCAUAGAACUCUGGACCAAUUGUCUCCAAUAUUGACAUACCUCUUAUACUUAGGUUCUUGAGAGCAGAUAGUUGUCCUAGUGGUGGAAGUGUUACACAAUAUCCACAAUUUUCUAUGCUAAGUGACACCAUGUUAGAAAAUGAAGAAUCUCCCAACCAACUUGGAAAGCUUGUCCCACCAUACAAGUCAAUGUUCAAUCUGUUUAGGUUUACCGGGGGUAUCAACAUAUCAAGCACAUCUUUCUCCUUAAGUGAGUCAUCAGUUUCCAUGCCCCACUGUAGCGUUAAUUCUUCAAUAUGUUCUUUGCUCUUUAAGUCAGCAUCAUAUGCCUCCACAACAUCAAUGAUGUUCUGAAGGUUCUUGAUAAAUAACUUCCCCUGUAGCUUUGGAAACCUUGCAAGCUCUCUAACACUUAAACCAACAUUUUUCUUGCCUACUAUGAAAACAGUUAAAGUUUGAAGAUUUUCUAGUUCAAUAAUUUGCUUUGGCAUCUCUGUUAUUCUUGUGUAAUGGAUAUCAAGGUGACGUAAAUUAAUUAACUUUCCAAUAUGUUCUGGCAAUUCAAUGAAUUUAAAGCAAUAUGAUAAAAUCAAGGUUUGCAAGUAGUAGAGGUUGCAUAUUGUAUCAGGCAAGCUUUUGAUUUCAGUGUAAGAUAGAUCUAGAUAGCGCAACUGCACCAAACUUCCAAUUGAAUCAGGUAGUACAGUGAUGUUAGUAUAUCUUGAUAACGACAACACACGCAACCUUCCAAAUGUGGGUAGCAAAUCAUCAACCACCUUUUUAGAUAAGUAAUUAAAAUUCCUCCAAGAGCAACAGGGUAGGUAGGUUCUCAAGCAUUUGAAUUUGUAGAAAAUUUUAAACUUCUUCACAAUGUCAUACUCUUCUUGACUAUAUGAGCAAUGACGAACAUUCUUGGAGGUAUCACCACCAAAUUCAACCCUAUAACAAGUUUUCCCAGAUACGAUUGUAGCUAAAUCAUUAACAAGGUCAUGCAUGACAAACUUUUGUUUUCUGGUACCAACAUGUAGUUGUUGAAUUAAUGAUCUGGAUAACAAUUCAGCAAAACAAUCAUCACCUACUUCUUCCAUGGCUUUUUCGUCCUGAGAAUAAUCAAGGAAGCCUUCUGCCAUCCACAACAAAACCAAUUGCUUCCUAUCAAGUGUAUAGUCCUUUGGAAAAAUGGAACAAUAUGAAAAACAUCUUUUCAAUUGGGAGGGAAGAUAUUGAUAACUCAGAAGCAAUGCAGGUAAAACAUUGUCAUUUGGUAAGUUCCAUAUUUUGUUGUUCAAAACUUCAGUCCACUCUUUGGCAUCUCUUUUCGAACGCAAUACUCCUCCAAGUGUUUUUGCAGCUAUGGGCAACCCAGCACACUUUCUUGCAAUCUGUCUACCAAUUGCUUCUAGGUUUGAGCCUUUAUUGUCACAAAAGUUUUCACUUCCAAAUGCAUGCUUUGAGAGUAAAGACCAUGUAUCUUCAUUAGAUAAAACUUCUAAUUUAUGAAUAGGAAAUGUAUGUGCAACCUCUGCAACUUUUUGUUGGCGUGUUGUGACGAUGACCCUGCUUCCACUGUUUCCAUUAAUCAAAGGAGUUACAAGUUCAUCCCAAUCAUUAUAAUUGUCAUUCCAAAGGUCAUCCAACACAAACAAAAAUCUUUUGUCGCUCAAAGUUUUCUUUAGUUCAACUCGAAGAAAAUCAAGAUUAUUGGUUUCCCAAGCUCUUGAAGUGACAGAUUCAAGAAGAGUUUUAGUUACAGAUAAAAUAUCAAAAUCCUCAGAU
This 29267-nucleotide long non-coding RNA is filed under the name Medicago truncatula (barrel medic). RNAcentral's name for it is "long non-coding RNA (MTRU_LNC000345)". The record is from RNAcentral. Lineage: Eukaryota; Viridiplantae; Streptophyta; Magnoliopsida; Fabales; Fabaceae.